CAUGAGCAGCUAUAUUCAAAACACUGAACAACUGCAUUACUGAGUUUAACAUUAGCAAGCGGUGACCUAAUGGUAAUAGGCAAUCAAUUGCUAUUCAUCAUCUACUGUGUGCUAUUUCUCUGGAAGCUGCAUGCUCUUCUCCGGUGGUAGAUGUUUUAUAUAGAGGUGUUUCUUGGACCCUUGGAAGUGUGCUAAUGGUCACAAGGGAUUAUUCAGCAUUUGCAGAAAGAGCGUCAAUCACUGACUGAGGGCUGGAUUUCCCUUCUGUAUGUGUUUGCUCAGAAAUAAGGCAGUUUGAAUAAAGCUGUACAUGCAUUUACAUGUAAGAGUUCAAUGCUGUCAGCUGGGGACUAAAUGCAGAAAGAACCCUUCUGGUUUUGACUCUGCAAUACUCAACCUCCAUCAACCCUGGGGCAAGUACCUGGC
RNAcentral lists this long non-coding RNA (426 nucleotides) under Cyanistes caeruleus (blue tit). RNAcentral describes it as "lncRNA (ENSCCEG00000011730.1)". Lineage: Eukaryota; Metazoa; Chordata; Aves; Passeriformes; Paridae. The record is from RNAcentral.